This 253-nucleotide ribosomal RNA is filed under the name uncultured bacterium. Its description in RNAcentral is "partial 16S ribosomal RNA". It matches the Rfam family "Bacterial small subunit ribosomal RNA", at positions 524 to 776 of the family's 1533-position model. The record is from RNAcentral.
UACGUAGGCAGCGAGCGUUGUUCGGAAUUACUGGGCGUAAAGAGUGUGUAGGCGGUGUUCCCAGUCUGUUGUGAAAUCUCCCGGCUUAACUGGGAGGGUGCAGCGGAAACUAGAAUGCUAGAGGGUGGGAGAGGUAAGCGGAAUUCCUGGUGUAGCGGUGAAAUGCGUAGAUAUCAGGAGGAACACCUGUGGUGUAGACAGCUUACUGGACCACUUCUGACGCUGAGACACGAAAGCUAGGGUAGCGAACGGG